UGGGGAAUAUUGGACAAUGGGCGAAAGCCUGAUCCAGCCAUGCCGCGUGUGUGAAGAAGGUCUUAGGAUUGUAAAGCACUUUAAGUUGGGAGGAAGGGCUGUUACCUAAUACGUGACAAUCUUGACGUUACCAACAGAAUAAGCACCGGCUAACUCUGUGCCAGCAGCCGCGGUAAUACAGAGGGUGCAAGCGUUAAUCGGAAUUACUGGGCGUAAAGCGCGCGUAGGUGGUUCAGUAAGAUGGAAGUGAAAUCCCCGGGCUCAACCUGGGAACUGCUUUCAUAACUGCUGAGCUAGAGUACGGUAGAGGGUAGUGGAAUUUCCUGUGUAGCGGUGAAAUGCGUAGAUAUAGGAAGGAACACCAGUGGCGAAGGCGACUACCUGGACUGGUACUGACACUGAGGUGCGAAAGCGUGGGGAGCAAACAGG
This 429-nucleotide ribosomal RNA is filed under the name uncultured prokaryote. RNAcentral describes it as "bacterial SSU rRNA". It matches the Rfam family "Bacterial small subunit ribosomal RNA", at positions 355 to 776 of the family's 1533-position model. RNAcentral also lists the same sequence under 1 other name. The record is from RNAcentral.